This 207-nucleotide ribosomal RNA is filed under the name uncultured bacterium. RNAcentral describes it as "partial 16S ribosomal RNA". It matches the Rfam family "Bacterial small subunit ribosomal RNA", at positions 568 to 774 of the family's 1533-position model. The record is from RNAcentral.
UGCGUAGGCGGAUGUGUUAGUCAGGUGUUAAAUCUUUGGGCUCAACCCAAAAAUCGCAUUUGAAACGGCACAUCUAGAAGACGUCAGAGGUUAGCAGAACUCACGGUGUAGGGGUGAAAUCCGUUGAUAUCGUGGGGAAUACCAAAUGCGAAGGCAGCUAACUGGGGCGUUCUUGACGCUGAGGCACGAAAGCCAGGGUAGCGAACG